Molecule: ribosomal RNA, 509 nt
Filed under: uncultured bacterium
Lineage: Bacteria
Description: partial 16S ribosomal RNA
Rfam family: Bacterial small subunit ribosomal RNA
Source: RNAcentral
ACUCAAAUGAAUUGACGGGGGCUCACACAAGCGGUGGAGCAUGUGGCUUAAUUCGAAGCAACGCGAAGAACCUUACCUGGGCUUGACAUGCUUGGAUGCUUUAUGGGGAUAACUCAUAAAGUUGCUCUUCGGAGUGAAACUUGCACAGGUGUUGCACGGCUGUCGUCAGCUCGUGCUGUGAAGUGUCGGGUUAAGUCCCUUAACGAGCGAAACCCUUGCCGUUAGUUACCAGCGGGUAAAGCCGGGGACUCUAGCGGGACUGCCGGCGUUAAGCCGGAGGAAGGCGGGGACGACGUCAAGUCAUCGUGGCCCUUAUGUCCAGGGAUGCACACGUGCUACAAUGGCGCGUACAAAGCGACGCAAGACCGCGAGGUGGAGCAAAUCGCAAAAAACGCGCCCCAGUUCGGAUUGGAGUCUGUAAUUCGACUCCAUGAAGUUGGAAUCGCUAGUAAUCGCGGAUCAGCUACGCCGCGGUGAAUGUGUUCCUGAGCCUUGUACACACCGCCCGU